AGUAACUACAUAGAUGUUAAAAUAUGAUCCUAAACUAUCCUUGGUUACUUUACCAAUAAACAGAUUGAUAUUGAAGAGAAUUUGAAUAGCAUAAUAACUAGAAAGGCAGAAAGCUCAGAGCUUUGAGAAUUAAUUGCACCGGUUUAACAAAAAUCAAAUAAGACUAGUCUUCUCAUGUAAACUUUAAGAAGAAAAAUAUAACACCAGAAAUGUCAGUAAACUUUGGGCACUGA
RNAcentral lists this unclassified non-coding RNA (233 nucleotides) under Hevea brasiliensis (rubber tree). The record is from RNAcentral. Lineage: Eukaryota; Viridiplantae; Streptophyta; Magnoliopsida; Malpighiales; Euphorbiaceae.